Non-coding RNA from Amborella trichopoda, 2273 nucleotides. Lineage: Eukaryota; Viridiplantae; Streptophyta; Magnoliopsida; Amborellales; Amborellaceae. The record is from RefSeq and is a predicted model, not a curated record.
GGCCCAAAAGGACAUGGUUGGAAGUAGUGAGAAAAUGUAUAGGGGUUUAUGGCCUCACUGAGGGUAUGGCCCUUAACAGAGUAGAAUGGUGGAGCAUGAUUCGUGUAGGGAUCCUAAUUAGUUGGGAAAGGGCAUUGACAAUGACAGUGAUGAUGAUGAAGCUUUGGAUUAUUGUUAGAUUUAAUAUAUGAGGGCCUGAUGUUCAAUUAUUGUUGCUUUAUUCUGUAGUAACCAUGACACCUACUGCAUCUUCGAUGUACUAUAUAUGCAAUGUAUAGUAAUUUCCUAGUCUUUGGAUCCGUAUUGUAUGUAUAUACAUUUUCCUCAACUCAAUAAUUUCAGUUUCUUUUUGAAAUUAUCAUUUGUUUCUUAUUUCGAGUGCAUCAUGCAUAACUUAAAUUUAAGGAAUUAGAAGUGUGCGCCAUCCUAUGAGUUGGUUGUGCUAUAAUCAUCUAUGGAUGUGAAAUUUGUAUGCAACAAUUUGUAAUUUGUACUACAUUUUUAAUUUGUGAAUAUUUUUUCUCCACAAUUAUUUUGCAAAUCACACCAACUCUUGUUAAAAACAUGCAAAAUAGAUCUUUAUAAUUUUCUUUUGCAUUUUCCUCUAUUUUGUCACGCUACAAGUUUAAAUCUGAACAUCUCUUGCAUAUUGCAAUUUUCAAAAUCAUAACAGUUUGUGUUAACUAGUUAAACAAUGAGUGUGUUUUGUAUAAAUUUGUGUUUUUUGUCCAUCCACACUAUAGAUUUUAGUUUGUGAACUUGCUUCCUUGCAUGUUACUGUUUUAAAAAUUAUGAGUAUUGUAACAACUCUUUUUAGCGACUGAGUGAAAAAAGAUUUGGCAUGGGUUGCAUCAGGGCCAUUCUUACCUUACUACUGUUAUGACAAAAAUAGAAGCGAAACUGAACCAAUGGACUAUGAAAUCACACCUUUAUCAAUAGGGCCAUAACUAUCAUUAGAAUGAUGAGUGGCAAUGGAGAGAGUGGGGGUCUUGUCUUGUCUCUCUCUCUCUCUCUCAUUUCAAGGGACAGUGAUCGCACAAUAUUCUGUGUGUGUGCGUGCGUGUUAUUGCAAGGAACGUGAUGGCACAAUAAACGCUCUCUUCGUCUGUGGUGUUCUCUCUCUCUCUUUGUGUGUGUGUGCUCGCACAUGCGUUCGUGUGUGUCUUUCUUCAAGGAACAGAGAUGGUGCAAUAAACACUCUCUCCCUCUGUGUUAUUUCAAGGGACAGUGGUGGUGCAAUACGCUGUGUGUGUGUGUGUUAUUUCAAUGGACAACAAUCGCAUAGUGAACUCUGGUUUUUACAUGGUCCAUUAGAUUGUAGUAUAGUUUCCCACAAGUAGAACACUGAAUUCUAGUCUUAUGUAGUAGAAUCUUUCUCUUGAAACAACAUUUCUGCCAUUGGUAUUCAGAUGGGUUAAGCCAUGAUCUUCAUUUGGGCUCUGUUGGUUUACCAUUAUUGGCAAUUAGCCUGAUACUAUUCCCACUUCUAUGUCUUUGCAAGCCGGAACAAUUGUCAAAAUGGAAUCAGGGUCCCUUGAAAGCCCGAACUCUUCUACAUUCUCUGACGGAUGAGGAUCACGCCCUUGGAAAUGCGGUUAGAUUUGUCUUAAAUCAGGAGUGAGUACUCAUAAUUUAUUUCUAUGUACGUAGUUAAUUCAAUGGACCUGCAAUGGCUCACCACCAUCCGUCGAAAGGAAUGGUGAUGAAGGGAGUGGGUCCUGUUCCAGGAUCGUAUCCUGUUGUGGUGGUUCGCAUCUUCUUUGCAUCAUUGUUUGUCACUUCAAUGGAUGGUGAUGGCCCCAGUGAGUAAGGUGACCCUGCCAAAGAUGUGGUCAAAGAUGCCCUCCAGGAUCGGAUGUCCAUGUGCCAACAUGUGAGGGGCACAUUUGAUAAGGCAGUUAUUGACUUCAAUAAGAAAGGCGCAAAAGGAAGCAGACAGAGUAAUACGAAGGGGGGGAGACAGAGAAAGAGGGGUGCGCAGGGCUGUUGAAGACAUGAACAUUGACUGAGAAUUGAUAGCACCAGUGUUCUAGAAACUGGAUUAGCCUAUUGAACCAGCUGCCGGCUAUUUUAUGGCUUCCCCAUGUUACACUGUGCUCUGGGGGAAUACACUGUAUGCACGAUUUUGUCCUUUCCCAUGUUUUCGAUAGCUAUACGAUCUUAGAUGAAAAGUACUGCUUGGAAGCACAUUGUAAAUGCUCAUUGGUCUUUUCUCAUGUGUUUAAGAUGAAAAACAUUGUUUCUUUGAUAUUCUGUUUUGGGGUUUUGGGUUU